UCGUGACAGCUGGUCGUCACUCCGAAGUUGCACCUGAUGCAAGCGCCUCAGAUACGAACAAGGAAUAAAGACAAUUUCCGUCUUUAACUACCGCGGAUUUCACUAAUGUAGCGCCUCGCUAAGCAAACAAGAAGCCGUGUUCCCACGAACUACUAGGUGCAACUCCUGGGAUCUCGCCAAACUCCGGCAACACGACCAGCAGCCACGGGCGCAGCCUACCACCAGCUUGCACCGUUCAUUGGCUGCAACUCUUGCCCUGUCUAACCCGAUAGGACGCUGUCAGCACAAUGAAUGUAACGAUUGGCUGAAUCCCAGCCCUCUCUGCCUUCAUUGGCGAAUCCAGUCUAUUCGACGCAGGGUAUCUCAGCCUGUGAUUGGCUGAAAUUUGAAUGUAUUGGUUGAACCAGACGAAAAUCCUGAAGUCUACAGCUGCUGGAAAUCUGAAAUAAAGACGACUGGAAAUACUCACCAGCUCACUCAGCAUCAUUCUGAAAAGGGCGCUGGAUAAUUACUUGUCACUUUCCACAGAUGCUGCCUGGCAUGCUUUGGCUUUGCUCUCCAAACUUCAAUCCCACCAGUGCAGAGUUAGGAACGAUUUUUAAGAUGCUGCAGGGAUAUCACCCUCUAAUAAUUUGCAUGGAGUAAUGUUUGCCAGGAUACCGACUCACCAGCAGCUGGACCUACCAGAUACAGUAGGGGCCGUGCACAAUCCUGAUUUGAUGGGGAUGGACGUGAGAAGCACAGAGGAACAUCUGGUGAAACUUCUGACAUGCCUGUUUCGCUGCCGCAGCUACUGUGCAAUCAAAAAGCCUCCGAGAGAAAGGCCCCGAAUCCUCGGCUUUGCCUGUUGCUUGGCGGCUGGAGUCGAAGUGCUCAGCAGAGAUGGUGCUCGGAGUCGGAGGCUCGGAGUUUUUCGGACGGACUCAAGAGUUGGCUGUGGUCGGAUGCUUCCAGAGGCUGCAUCGGGAAGCUUUGCGGCGCUGGAGGUUCAUGGCAGGAAGAGUUCUUCUUCCUUCUACCGUCUACGUGAGAUGAUGGGCUAUCGAGGACUUUGAGACGUUUUAUUACCAUGUCCAUGGUCUACCUGUAUCAAAUUAUAGCAUUGCUUUGCACUGUUGUAACUAUAUGUUAUAAUGAUGUGGUUUUUGUAAGUUAGUCUUGGUCUGUCUUGUGUUUUUGUGAUAUCAUAUUUGAGGAACAUUGCAUCAUUUCUUUAUGCAUGUAUUACUAAAUGACAAUAAACGAGGACUGAGUGUCCUCACAAUCUAAUCUAAUAAAUUUACAGCCCACUUCUUGUAAGAAAUGUCAAUCACUGGGUACAACAUGCAUAGGAAUUGAGGUAGAAAAUUUAUGCAGAGAGGACUUGAAUACAAAAGUAUUGCUGAAGCCUUAUAAGACAUUGGUCAAAAUCAUUUGGAAUGUUGAGAGAAAUUCGGGGCCCUGUACCAAGACGGAUGUGCUGGACCUAGAGAGGUCCAGAGGAGAUACACAGAAAUGAUCCAGAGAAUGAAAAGGUUAACCUAAGAGGAGUAUUUAACGGCUCUGGGCCUAUACUUAGAGCUUAAAAGAAUGAGGGAAUCUCACUGAUACUGAAAGGCCUGGGCAGAGUGGACAGGAAGAGGAUGUUUCCAUUUGGAAAAUCUAGGGUGCAAGGGCAUCCCUUUAGAAUUGAGAUGAAGAAAUUCAUUCUCAACCAAAAAAUAUGGUGAAUCUGCAGCUAUUUAUCAUAGGGAUAAGAAAAAUUGCUACCCUGAGCACAGUGAACAUUUGAAAUUCCCUGAACUAGGAGGAUGGUGGAGGCUCACUUACAGUGUUCAUUCAAAACACAGAUAGAUUUUCAGACAUUAAAAAAAAUUUAAGAAGUUGUAGAAAAUGGCACUGAGAUUGAAGAUCAGCCAUGACCUUAAAGAAUAAAAGUACCAGAUGGCCUACAGCUUCUCCUAUAUUUUAUGUUCUUCAAUUUCAAAUAGAAAAAUCCUAAGUCUCUCACGAUCACAAAUGAAGAUUCCAUCUUUGAUCAUACUCCAGGCGCUACUGAAGGGUUAAAUCACAUUCUCCCUUCAUCUAUGGAAUAUACAGUGCCUAUAAAAAGUAUUCAACCCCCCUUGGAAGUUUUCAUGUUUCAUUGUUCUACAACACGAAUCACAGUGGAUUUAAUUUGGAUUUCUUGACACUAAUCAGCGGAAAAAACAUACGUGUCAAAGUGAAAACAUCACUACAAGCUGAUCUAAAUUAAUCAAAAAUAUUAAACACAAAGUAAUUGAUUGCAUAAGUAUUCACCCCAUUUAAUUUUGACACACCAAGUCAUAAUUGAUGCAGCCAAUUGGUUUUUGAAGUCACAAAAUUAGUUAAAUGGAGAUCAGUUUCUGGAGGCCUAUGUGCAGUCAAGGUCCUUCAGUUGAUUGCAGUAAAAAUACACCUGUAUCAUGAAGGUGCCAUUGCUGGUGGGUCAGUAUCCUGGCAAAAACUACACCAUGAAGAUAAAUGAACACCCCAAGCAACUCCGCGAAAAGGUUAUUGAAAAGUACUACAUAUACAAGAAAAUUUCCAAGUUACUGUAAAAUUGUUGAUGUAAGUCCAUCAGCAAAAAAUGGAAAGAAUAUGGCACAGCUGUAAAUCUGCCUGGAGCAGGCCGUACUCAAAAAGUGAAUGACCAGACAAGAAAGGGACUAGUGAGCGAGGCCAAAAGACCUAUGACAACUCUGGAGGAGUUAGGAGCUUCAGUGGCAGAGAUGGGAGAGACCGCGCAUACAACUGUUACCCAGGUGUUUCACCAGUCGUAGCUUUAUGGGAGAAUGGCAAAGAGAAAACUACUGCUGUAAACACUCACAUGAAAUUUCAGCUAGAGUUUGCCAGAAAGCAUGAAAGACUCUAAAAGACUCUAAAGUCAGCUGGAAAAAGAGAAUGUGGUCAGUACAAAUAAACGUUUAAGACCCAUCUCACAAAUGGAUUUCAUGUGCAGCAGAGGAAAGUAUUUUGGAUAGCACGAGGACAAUAUUGCUGAAUCAAGUUGUUGUUAAAACGCAAAAAAGUGUGUCGCAAAUUGCCAAACUUGUAUUUUGUUCAAGGAAGAACCAGGGAAAGAGAAGAGUAAAAAGUAAACAUAAAAACAACUGCUCAAAGAUGUAUAAUCUAUGAUAUAUUAAAAUAUUUAUAGUUAAGGGAUACAACCAUAUAUCUUAAAUAAAAACAAAAAGUGCUGGAGAUCCUCAUCAGGUCAGACAAUAUCAGUGGGAAGGGAACAGAGUUGACAUUUCUGUUCAAAGAAUCUUUGUCACAGUAGCUGCAAAAUUUUCUGAUUUUGUUUUACAUUUCCAGCAUCCGCAGUUUUUCAGGAACACAAGACAGCAGAUGCUGUAAUCUGUUGCAAACAUCUGCUGGAGGAACAAUGGCUCAGGCUGCAUCUGUGGAGGCAGAGGGCUGGAUGUUGUUUUAGAUCCUAAAUCCUGAUGCAAGGCCUCGACUCCAAACACCUCCACUGAUGCUGCCUGAGCUGCUGAGUUCCUUCAGCAGCACUUUCUUUGCACUUGCAACUAGAAAUCUUUUCUGACAUAGUUUGAAGCUGCUUUUCCAACAUUGCUGCAGAAUGUUGAAUCCACUAGGUUCACAAGUACAUAAAAGAUAUUGCAGUUACCAAUUAAGGCUCGCUUUAUAAACAUAGAUAUAGUAUAUUCUAGAUUAUUGGGCCACGGAUUAAUUGGGACAGCCGCUUGUUUGGGACUGUAUGCUGCUUAACUGGGGCAGGAGAUUGAUACUGAAUGGUUUCUAACCAGCAUCAGUUACAUGUGCUUGUGUUCAAAAUGCAGUGAUUUUGGCCACUGAUAGUUGCUGAGAAAUAAGCAGUAAGACAAUUUAAAACUGUUUUGCACACUGCUGUUUCAAGCAAUCAGGCUUAGAGAUGUCAGAAACUGCAGGGAAUGAAAAUGAAAUGAUGUUACUAUUAGAACUAUGAAGAAUUUGAAGGUAUUGACAAUCAUUUGGAAUGUUACAAUGAAAAUGAAAAUUUGGAGGAUGCAAUCAUUGAAAGCUUUGUAUGAAGGCAGUCUAUUAUUUGCACUGAUUUUAUUCAUUUAAUUAAUCAAAGAACACAGCAGCUUACAUUGGAUGAAUUCCCCCAUCAAUAAGUUUUAUAGUUCCGUAGUAGUAUUAGUAAUGUUCUAAUUUGUUCCAUAUUUCAUUUAAAUACAUAAUUUAUUACUCAGUUAAAUGGUAGUCUGCCUUUUUUUUAAUAAAUUUUUAGAACCAUUUCCAUGGAA
Long non-coding RNA from Hypanus sabinus (Atlantic stingray), 4256 nucleotides. RefSeq lists it as uncharacterized. The transcript is spliced from 4 exons. The record is from RefSeq and is a predicted model, not a curated record. NCBI's taxonomy places the organism in Eukaryota, Metazoa, Chordata, Chondrichthyes, Myliobatiformes, Dasyatidae.